GUUCUUCUGGGAGCGAUUCCGAUGACAAUGCACAAUGAAGCGGGAUAUGAUGAACAAGAAGAAAAGGGUCUGAAAAGAUCCAAAAUGGAGAGUUACAAACCCCUCUCGCGCAGCACGGAGUGGACCGUUGACCAGAUAUUUGUCUGAAUGAGGUAUUGUUUAUCUCUUCAUUUGUGCAAAUUAUUUGUUCUCUCUUUUGCUAUUACACAAUGUGGAUCAAUGCUGAUUAGAUUAAAAUCUUUUUAGGGCUGUAAAAUCUUCAGAAUGUGGAAUAGAGAGGGCUUCACAAUGGGUUGGGAAGUCUAGCAGUUUCUGCCUCGCUAUGGCUCUUGAAGAAGACAAUAACAUAAACAAAAACUUGGAAGAACCUGAACAAUGGAGAAUGAGGGAAGGGAAAGAUGUAGGUAAAGGGAGGGGAUGAUAGUUCAGAGGAGAACAGUGUAGGAAUGUAGGAGAAAAUCAGGUUUAGAGUUUGAGUUCUUUUUUGUUUUUUACUCUUUUGUGUACACAUCAUUACACUUUUAUAUACAUAUGCUUCAAUGUCAAUCAAUGUGCAAAAUUUUGUGGGUUUGAAACUUGGAUUCUAA
Molecule: long non-coding RNA, 587 nt
Filed under: Cucumis sativus (cucumber)
Lineage: Eukaryota; Viridiplantae; Streptophyta; Magnoliopsida; Cucurbitales; Cucurbitaceae
Description: long non-coding RNA (CSAT_LNC001502)
Source: RNAcentral